GACGAACGCUGGCGGCGUGCCUAAUACAUGCAAGUCGAACGAAGCUUUUUUAACUGGUGCUUGCACCGACUUAAACAACUGAGUGGCGAACGGGUGAGUAACACGUGGGUAACCUGCCCCAAAGCGGGGGAUAACAUUUGGAAACAGAUGCUAAUACCGCAUAACCACAGAAACAACAUGGUUUCUGUGUCAAAGAUGGUUUCGGCUAUCACUUUGGGAUGGCGCCGCGGCGUAUUAGCUAGUUGGUAAGGUAAUGGCUUACCAAGGCAAUGAUACGUAGCCGAACUGAGAGGUUGAUCGGCCACAUUGGGACUGAGACACGGCCCAAACUCCUACGGGAGGCAGCAGUAGGGAAUCUUCCACAAUGGACGAAAGUCUGAUGGAGCAACGCCGCGUGAGUGAAGAAGGUUUUCGGAUCGUAAAACUCUGUUGUCAGAGAAGAACGUGUGCGAGAGUAACUGUUAGUGCAGUGACGGUAUCUGGCCAGAAAGCCACGGCUAACUACGUGCCAGCCGCCGCCGUAA
RNAcentral lists this ribosomal RNA (524 nucleotides) under uncultured bacterium. RNAcentral describes it as "partial 16S ribosomal RNA". It matches the Rfam family "Bacterial small subunit ribosomal RNA", at positions 28 to 523 of the family's 1533-position model. The record is from RNAcentral.